AGGGGUUACCCCCAUUUGAAUAGAUGGCGGCCAUGUUGGUCGUUCCCACUUGCUAAUAAACGCUUAAAAACAACAAUAACUUUCUUUAUUUGAAUAGUUUAAAAACGUAUUUGGAAUAGGGUUAACUUAAUGUUUAAGUUCCCUGUUUAAGAAAUAGAAAACAUACGAAUCUUCUCAUUUCAUGGGAACGACCUGAGACUGCAAUCACGGCUUCACUUUUUGAAUUGCA
This is a non-coding RNA of Paramuricea clavata, 229 nucleotides long. Lineage: Eukaryota; Metazoa; Cnidaria; Anthozoa; Malacalcyonacea; Plexauridae. The record is from the annotation of a GenBank genome assembly.